Molecule: ribosomal RNA, 255 nt
Filed under: uncultured bacterium
Lineage: Bacteria
Description: partial 16S ribosomal RNA
Rfam family: Bacterial small subunit ribosomal RNA
Source: RNAcentral
UACAUAUGGGGCAAGCGUUGUUCGGAAUUACUGGGCAUAAAGGGUGCGUAGGUGGUCUAUUAAGUCAGGGGUGAAAUCCCGCGGCCCAACCGUGGAACGGCCUUUGAUACUGGAUGGACUUGAGUGCGUGAGGGGUAGGGGGGAACGAGCAGUGUAGCGGUGAAAUGCGUAGAUAUUGCUCGGAAGGCCAGAGCCGAAGGGGCCCUACUGGUACGUAACUGACACUGAGGCACGAAAGCGUGGGGAGCAAACAGG